CAUCUCAGCCCUGUCAAGAUGGAUCUCCAUAACAGGUGAUGAAUAGUUUUAUUUGGGGGAUGUAUUAACUUUUACUAUUGGGGGGAAGUUUUAGAUCGGUCUGCCAGUUUGUAACCCAUCAAGUUGAGGCCAAUAGAUAUACAUUCACAACCCUGCACCCAUCAAAUAAUCAACUUUAUGUGUGACUUUGGGACUGAUUCAUACAACCACAUUUACUUUCUCCACUCUAUAGCAGCUUUUUCUCUGUAUUUGAAAAAAAUAACCAAGAAGGAGAAGAUAAGGAACCAGGAAUAAGUGCUGGAUGAGUAUGGUGAGGACCUAAGCUUUACAAGUGAGGGGGCUAGGAAGAUGGCUUUGUGGUUUAGCAUAGGAAUGAUGGGUGCUGCUUCAUAUUAUUGAAUUUCUGUUCCACAAAGAAUAAGACUUUGAGCUCUUUGCUCUUAUACUUUUAAGGCUUGUCAGAUUCUGGAAGAUGGAGAGUCUGGAAUGCUUUCUAGUGACAACAUAUCAGCCAGCUGCUGCUCUGCCUCUGCCUUCUCCUCACCCAUCAUUUCCCAUCUUUUCCCCUCCUCUGUCUCUGAGCUGUGACUUCCCCCAAACCCCUGUUGUAAAUCCAUACUGUCUUCCUCUUCCUCCUCCCUGGAAGGGUCAGGAUGGGGAGGUGGUCUCCACCACUCUUCCUCUGGCCUGCCCCUGACAUAUUGUAAGGCAGACAAGUGUCAAAGAGAACCAAAUCUUUACAAGGAAAAUCAUAGUAAGCACAUUAUCUAAGCAAUUCCAGUGGUAAGAAGAGUUCAGGAAGUUGUUUGUGAGCACCAAGGCUUAGAAAAGCAUUGAAAUACCUUGAUAAACGCAGAUAGUAAGCAAGGAUGCAAUUUCGACUUUCAAUUUGGACUUUGCUCUUUUGCCUUGUCUGGAAUGAUGUGUUGCGACUAAAAUGGUUUCCACUUAGAUUAAAGUCAUGUUUACACACAGAAGAAGCUUUUGCUGUGAGACAUGGAUUUUGUAACUAAUUCAUGUUCAUUUGGAGCAAUUGUAGAAAUCAGAGAUAUGGCAAAACAGUAUAGAACUGCCCUUUGCUGACCUUUCCCUAGGCACAUGUCUACAGCUAUGACACAAUUUACCAUACAUAACUCCAUGCCCUAAAACAUUUCACUUACUGAAAUUCUGUCAAUCAAGCCAAUAUUUUAAAAAAACCCACACAGACAGGGAAAGUUUUUUCCGUUUUCAGUUUGCAAAGUCCAAUACCACAGUUAAGUACAGGCCUUCAGACUGGAACAGCACCAAAAACUACUUACCCCUACAGUGAGACGGCUUUCAGUCAAAACUGCAAAUUGAGAAGGAAGGUAGGCAUGGGACUUUUGAGAACUAUGUUUGUGAAUUCAUUUUGCACGUGUGGUUUUCAUUGCAUGGAGGAAACCAGUGUGCACUGCCAAGCCCUGUCCCAUCUGGGGGCUUUUUUCCAGCCUUCCACAUGCUGAAGGUCAAAUGUCUGUUUCAUAGGCAUGGGAGCAUAAGUUGGCAGUCUGAAUCAUUGUUUACCACUUCUGUUCCUUACCUCUUGUUUAUUAAAAGAACAAAGGAAACUUUUUGAACAUCACUCAUGCAUAUUCUUGCCCUGCCUACUUUGGCUAUGUGUUGUAUACCCUCCAACAUUCCUCAGUCAUUCUUUUCUACAUCACUGUCCCCCACAUGCCUUCCAAAAAAGCACACUACUGAUAGAAUACAAGAAAAGGAUGGGGCUGGCUGAGCUACCCCAGUGGGACUUACUUUUAAGCAAACACACAUGGUUCAAAAUGAGCAUGGUCCUAUCUGUAGGCUCCGCCAAGUUCAAAGACAAGUUUGCUCAAGUCUGAAAUCUUAUACACACACUCUCUCAUUCAAGUCAGUGAGCACACAAAGGGAUCUGCGACCCCUUUAAACUGUUAAAAGUGGGAAUUUAGAUACUAUAGGCUUCCAAGGAAUAAGACUCGAAAUUUUGGUUCUGAGCUGCUGAAUUUCUGCCUUUCAUCCAUCUACUCUGCUGGAGGGGCAGUACCAGUCUAUAUGCUCAAGGUUAGCUUUGCAUAUAUCUAUAUACAUGAUGGUGGCAAGCAUAUUCACACACUGGAUGGGGAUUAACACAGGCAACACGCCAACGGCUCUGGUACAAUGCCUGCUUCCUAGCAACUGAACUCAGAUGGACAACACUCUCACACACAUGCUUCCGAGUCUGUUGCAGUGCCCUCGCAUUCAAAGCCUUGCAUUGCUUCUAGAGCCUAACACAAACAUUUAUUUGCAACCUCAAAAGGGGUUAAUCCAAAAGCUUAAGACACUUACUCACAAUGCAGGCCCAAUGGCGUUUAUGCCAGUCUUUUAAAAGACCACACAAAAGUUUAGUAAAGGGGUAGUGUACAAAAAAACCAAAAACACCAACAACCAGUCACACUACAGAAACUUGCAGCUUUCCAGUUUAAAAAGUUGUUGAGGGUCUUCUGUGGGGAAACUUGGCUGGAAAAGUGGGGGGACGGUCACUGGCCACAUCUCAAGGGAUCCUGUCUCUCCUGGGCCUGUCUGGGGACCAGCCAACCACCUGCCCGCUGGGGUGACAGAGUGUGGCCUAAAGCAGGACAUGAGACGGAGAGAGGGCAGCUCAAGCAAUGGAGGGGGGCAAAUGUCAUAGUCUCGUUGCUGAGCAACAAUUUGCAGGGCUCAGUGGAGUGAGAGAGCAACCAACUAGAAGUGUCUCUGAGGUGUACUUGCCUGGAGGAAGAUUCAGCAUCUGAAGUCAGGUCCAGUCCUAGGCAUGGGCAAACAACAAUCCACAUGGUCAGACAGUCCAGGGGUCAGGGAAUCUGAUGAUCAUAGGGUCAAGACAAAAGGAAGCAGCAAGGUAGGGCCAGGAACUACAAGCGUUCUUACUAGCAUCUGACUGCUGCUGGAAACUCUGCUUAAGAAGGCUGAAGCCAGCUGAAUCUCGUUAGUACCUUCUCCUCUGAGUCCUUGAAGGCUGAUCAGUUGCAGGUGGAGUCACUCUGUCUUCUCUCCCUUCAGGCUGCUGUUCAGCAG
Molecule: non-coding RNA, 3048 nt
Organism: Podarcis lilfordi (Lilford's wall lizard)
Lineage: Eukaryota; Metazoa; Chordata; Lepidosauria; Squamata; Lacertidae
Source: the annotation of a GenBank genome assembly